UACAGAGGGUGCGAGCGUUGUCCGGAAUCACUGGGCGUAAAGGGCGCGUAGGCGGCCUGGCAAGUCGGUGGUGAAAGCUCAGGGCUCAACUCUGAGUCGGCCAUCGAUACUGCGAGGCUCGAGUCGACUAGAGGCAGAUGGAAUUCCGGGUGUAGCGGUGGAAUGCGUAGAGAUCCGGAAGAACACCGGUGGCGAAGGCGGUCUGCUGGGGUCGAACUGACGCUGAUGCGCGACAGCGUGGGGAG
This 245-nucleotide ribosomal RNA is filed under the name uncultured bacterium. RNAcentral's name for it is "partial 16S ribosomal RNA". It matches the Rfam family "Bacterial small subunit ribosomal RNA", at positions 524 to 768 of the family's 1533-position model. The record is from RNAcentral.